This 344-nucleotide ribosomal RNA is filed under the name Plenodomus lingam JN3. Its description in RNAcentral is "eukaryotic large subunit ribosomal RNA". It matches the Rfam family "Eukaryotic large subunit ribosomal RNA", at positions 1504 to 1848 of the family's 3401-position model. Lineage: Eukaryota; Fungi; Ascomycota; Dothideomycetes; Pleosporales; Leptosphaeriaceae. The record is from RNAcentral.
AGGUUCUGUGUAAAUAGCAGUUAGACACGGGUUAGUUAAUCCUAAGAGAUAGGGUAAUUCUAUUUUAAUGUCGGCGCUUACACCACACCCUUAAAAGGGAAGCUAGUUAAUAUUCUAGCACCUAGAUGUAGAUUCUCUGUAGCAACGUAACUAAGAGCAGAGACCUUAGCAGGAGCCCUAAGAAGAGUUCUCUUUUCUUCUUAACGGUCUAUUACCCUAAAAUUAGUUUAUCUAGAGCUAGGGUUUAAUAGCUAGAAGAGCGCUGCACUUUUAUAGCGUUUAGUGCGCUCCUAAUAAGCCUUAAAAAUCUACUUAAAGAAAUAGUUUUUACCCUAGGUCGUACU